Molecule: long non-coding RNA, 2353 nt
Organism: Saccostrea echinata
Lineage: Eukaryota; Metazoa; Mollusca; Bivalvia; Ostreida; Ostreidae
Exons: 5
Source: RefSeq, a predicted model, not a curated record
UUUCUCACAGAAAAACCUUACUGACUGUUUAACCUUUUCUCUUUGCAGAUCAAAUACACCAACAUCCUACGGAUGAUGGAGAGGGUUGUGCUGCAAUUUACCAAACUUUACAUGAAGUCAUUUUAAAGAAAUCAGGAUACAGACCAGUAAGUGCAGAACAUGUACAUGAGUUUGAUAGAUACAUAAAUCAGUUUCCACACCCACCACCACGGGACAUUGAUCAUGACAACAGUGGAACACUAUUAUGGACAGAACCUGAUAUCUCUACAUUCAUACGGGGUCUUGCAGGAUGGAGUGAUAUUCCUGAACAAGAUAUAUCCCGUUACAUAAAUAUUUUUCAACAUUACCCUCAUAGUGAUCUAACAAAAAUGUACAACCACAUUAUGAGAGAACUAGGUCGUAGUCCCACAGUCCGAGAGUUGGGCCGAUUGUUACCAAUUCUUGAAGGUAAUGAAGCUUAUGAGUCCUCCCGUAAAACACCAGGACAGUUUCUCAUUGAGUUGGAAGAGUCUAAACGAAAUUUACAGUUAGAGAGAUCCCAAAAGAAUUUGUUGAAGAGUGAGCUUCUUUCGAUGCAUGUUGAUCUGAAUGACUUAGAGAGAAAGAAUAGAAUGCUAAAAAUUUGUUUGUGCUUGGGUUUGUGUUUAAUGUGUUUGAUUGUUUUAGUCUUACAAUAACAUUGUGAAAGACAUUAAAACAUAAGAUCCAGACAGAUCUAUCAUUGCACACAUGUUUAAAUUCCGAUUUACUAACUACUCGCCAUUUUUUCAUUUUAUAGAAAGAAGUUUAUUUUUUAAUUUUCUUCUAAUAUGUUUAAUAUACUGUACCCCUUUUAUUCUUCUUUAAGAUCCAGUAUACAUUAACAUUCCACAUACAUUUUAGAACUUCUAAUAUCCCAGUCAUUUUAGCUCACCUGAGUUGAAAGCUCAAGUGAACUUUUUCUGAUCACAUUUUAUCUGUAGUCUGUCUGUCUGUCCGUCUGUAAAUUUUCAAAUUUUCGACUUCUUCUCCAGGACCACUGGGCCAAUUUCAACCAACUUGCCACAAAGCAUCCUUGGGUAAAGGGGAUUCAAUUUUGUUCAAAUGAAGGGGCACGCCCUCAUUCAAGGGGAGAUAAUUCAGUAAUAGGGAAAAUUUGGUGACAUGUUUUAAAAAUCUUCCUCUCAAGAACCACCGGACCAAAAAAGUUGAAACUUAUAAAAAACUUUCUUUACAUAGUGUAAAUUUAAGUGUGUUCAAAUGAUGACCCCCUGGGAUAGGGUGGGGCCACAAUGGCGGAUCAAAGUUUUACAUAGGAAUUUAUAGGAAAAAAACUUUAAAAAUCAAAGCCAUGAUUAGUCAUAUUGAUAUGGAAGCAUCCUAUAUUCAUAUUGAUAUGGAAGGUAGUGAAAAUUCAAGUUUGUUCAAAUGAUGACCCCCGGGGGUAAGGUGGGGCCACAAUGGGGAUCCUUUUAGAAAGGAAUAUAUAGGAAAAAAUCUUUAAGAAUCUUAUUCUCAAGAACAGCUUCUUCUCAAGAACAGCAAAGCCAUGUAUAGUCUUAUUCAUAUGGAAGGAUCCUCAGUUAGUUUAAAAUUCAACAUCCCCAUCCUUAUGUAAACUUUUCAAUACUGAACUGAUUUGUGCUUUUUCCUAGUCAAUGUGCUCAGGUGAGCGAUGGCCCAUAGGCCUCUUGUAAUAUUAAUAGUUUUCAAAUUUCCUCAUGCUUCCUUCGUGAAAAUGUAGAACAAGAGUUGUGAUUUGUUCAUAAGAAUUGGAAACUUUCUUAUUUUAUUCAUUGAAAUCGUUGUUGAUCUUUUAAACUCAUAUUUAAGAUUAAGAAUACAUUUGUAUUAUAUGUUUAGAGAAAGGGAAAAGAUGUAUUUUUCAGAUUAAAUGUUGAGUUAUUUUUAUGAAUACAUGUUUUGCUAGACAGGGUAUUUUAUGUUUGUCGUGAUGAUGAAAUUUUAUUAAUUUGAUCAGAUUGAUUUUUGAGGGCAAUGACAGUAAAUAUUUAAGUUUUGUUUUGUCGUUAUGAAGUAUUUUAUCAGUUAGUGAUGUCAUUCUGAAGAAUAUAUAAUGAAUGAUGAAAGUGUGAUCUAUUCUUACAAAUGUAUUUAUGAUAUUUGUCAACUGGUGAACACCGUAGUGCCUUUUUAUGAAGGCAAAUGGAAUAUCUUAAUAUUAUAUUGGUGCAAUAUAUUUAACAGAUAAACUUUAUUGAAAUAAAAAGAUCAGUAAAAAAAAGAUCGUGAUUUCCAUGUGCAUUUAUUUGAAAGAAAAAAAAAUUCUGAGACUUAUACAUAAGCAGUAGAGUCCCUUUCCGAUAUGGGCCGUAAUUUCGCUGAAACUCAUUGAAGCUGAACGAAAUGCGAA